GCCUACCGAGCCAAAAGAGAUGGUGGUGUGCCUAUUCUGUUGGCCGGGACCUGUUUUGUUUGCCAGGACCUCUGUUGGAAAUAGGAAACACCAUCCACCUGGAGAAUUACAGUAUCUUGCUGCUGGCUCACUGACGUUGCCCACCUGCAGACUUCAGCCCACCCAGUCCUUGUCUGGAUCUUGUACCUGGGCCUGGGCACACCUGGCAUAGCUGCCGCCUGUGGGGGUUUGUGCUGAGGUGAGCUCACCAGGCUUACCUAGGGCAACUGAAGGGUGUGGCUAGUUGGUAUCUGAACUUAUUGACUACAGAAGCAAACCUCAAAGCUGGAGAAGUGGCACUGGGCAAGGAGCCUGUAGGAUGAGGUGAGACACAGCAGGCAGAUGAAUCAGUGGGGCAGAAAGAAGGAAGAAGUGGAAUCCACGGCAGCGGAGGUUGAUAAGGAGCCAAUUCAUUAUCUUGAAAACUCACAAAUAAAGGAGAGGAAUCAAGCAUUUGUCCAACCUUUUCUAUAUGAACUGUGCUGGAUAAUCAAAUAGUAG
This is a long non-coding RNA of Choloepus didactylus (southern two-toed sloth), 540 nucleotides long. RefSeq lists it as uncharacterized. Lineage: Eukaryota; Metazoa; Chordata; Mammalia; Pilosa; Megalonychidae. The record is from RefSeq and is a predicted model, not a curated record. The transcript is spliced from 3 exons.